GACAUUUGGUAGAGACUGUUGAAGCCACCUGGUCCCAGCAGAUCCCAGAAGGUGGCCACAUUCGCUGGUGCUGGGGCAAGAUCCUUAAGAGUGAAUGAAGCCUGGUGUCAGAUGUGU
Molecule: ribosomal RNA, 117 nt
Filed under: Panthera tigris altaica (Amur tiger)
Lineage: Eukaryota; Metazoa; Chordata; Mammalia; Carnivora; Felidae
Source: RNAcentral